Molecule: small RNA, 339 nt
Filed under: Histoplasma capsulatum
Lineage: Eukaryota; Fungi; Ascomycota; Eurotiomycetes; Onygenales; Ajellomycetaceae
Also listed under: 1 other name
Description: hypothetical RNA
Source: RNAcentral
CAUAGGCUGUUUGGAAAUUUCAUAUGGCAAUUUUUUGUGACACACCUCCUGGCCAUAAGCUGUACGUUGAGCACCGAUGGCCUUGAUGUCAACGACCGGUUCCAUACUCUAUCAAAGUUCCUCUCGUCAUAUACCAGGCUGUCAGGCCCUUUCUAAAUCUGAGUUGUUUCUAUUCUCAGCAUAUAUGUAAAUAUAUAUAUAUAUAUACACGGAUUGAAACCCCGGACGCUAGUCAUCAAACAUGGUGGCUUGUGGAAGGAUGAUACAAAAGAGAGGAAAACAAUACCCUCCAAGCCGCAGGCCGAUAACACUUCUCGAUUCAUACCGGUGACGGCAACA